GGGGGCGUACUGGUUUCGACCGGAUUGCAAGAGGUUCAGAUCGCGUGUCGUGGUUGGUCGGCAGGCCACGCUAAAAGUCGACCACAGCUUCAAUUGCCGAAGCUCAGUUUUCUCUGGCAGCUUAACUAAGUUGCUCCGAGCGAUGGCCCCAGUCGGAAGGGCCUACCAAUCGGUCGCCAAAUCCGACUCGUCCUGUUUCAUCGCCUAGUACGGGCAGGACCAAAUUUGUUCUGGGCUGGUGAAAGGCACACCCUGUCGGCCGGGGGGUUUUUCACGAGAUUUAAAUUGACCGAAUACACACGUAGAAGUUUGUUCUGAAACGUCACGGGACGCGGGUUCGAUUCCCGCCGCCUCCACUC
Molecule: transfer-messenger RNA, 359 nt
Filed under: Planctomycetaceae bacterium TMED138
Lineage: Bacteria; Pseudomonadati; Planctomycetota; Planctomycetia; Planctomycetales; Planctomycetaceae
Also listed under: 2 other names
Rfam family: transfer-messenger RNA
About the family: Bacterial tmRNA, also known as 10Sa RNA or SsrA, is named for its dual tRNA and mRNA-like properties.
Source: RNAcentral